Molecule: ribosomal RNA, 449 nt
Filed under: uncultured bacterium
Lineage: Bacteria
Description: partial 16S ribosomal RNA
Rfam family: Bacterial small subunit ribosomal RNA
Source: RNAcentral
AACGAACGCUGGCGGCAUGCCUAACACAUGCAAGUCGAACGAGAUCUUCGGGUCUAGUGGCGCACGGGUGCGUAACGCGUGGGAAUCUGCCCUUUGGUUCGGAAUAACAGUUGGAAACGACUGCUAAUACCGGAUGAUGACGAAAGUCCAAAGAUCUAUCGCCAGAGGAUGAGCCCGCGUAGGAUUAGCUAGUUGGUGUGGUAAAGGCGCACCAAGGCGACGAUCCUUAGCUGGUCUGAGAGGAUGAUCAGCCACACUGGGACUGAGACACGGCCCAGACUCCUACGGGAGGCAGCAGUGGGGAAUAUUGGACAAUGGGCGAAAGCCUGAUCCAGCAAUGCCGCGUGAGUGAUGAAGGCCUUAGGGUUGUAAAGCUCUUUUACCCGGGAUGAUAAUGACAGUACCGGGAGAAUAAGCUCCGGCUAGCUCCGUGCCAGCCGCCGCUGUAA